AUAUGAAUCACCUGGGAAUCUUGUUAAAAUACAGAUUCUGAAACAGCAGAUCUGGGUGGGGCAAGAGUUCUGCAUUUCUAACAUGCUGUUGCUGGUCCAAGG
This 102-nucleotide microRNA precursor is filed under the name Marmota monax (woodchuck). The record is from RNAcentral. Lineage: Eukaryota; Metazoa; Chordata; Mammalia; Rodentia; Sciuridae.